CUGCCUACGGGGGGCAGCAGUGAGGAAUAUUGGUCAAUGGGCGGAAGCCUGAACCAGCCAAGUCGCGUGAGGGAAUAAGGCCCUACGGGUCGUAAACCUCUUUUGCCGGGGAGCAAGGGCGGGGACGUGUCCCGGCCCGGAGAGUACCCGAAGAAAAAGCAUCGGCUAACUCCGUGCCAGCAGCCGCGGUAAUACGGAGGAUGCGAGCGUUAUCCGGAUUUAUUGGGUUUAAAGGGUGCGUAGGCGGAUUUGUAAGUCAGCGGUAAAAAUGCGGUGCUCAACGCCGUAUCGCCGUUGAAACUGCG
This 305-nucleotide ribosomal RNA is filed under the name uncultured bacterium. RNAcentral's name for it is "bacterial SSU rRNA". It matches the Rfam family "Bacterial small subunit ribosomal RNA", at positions 335 to 637 of the family's 1533-position model. The record is from RNAcentral.